This 116-nucleotide ribosomal RNA is filed under the name Klebsiella pneumoniae. The record is from RNAcentral. Lineage: Bacteria; Pseudomonadati; Pseudomonadota; Gammaproteobacteria; Enterobacterales; Enterobacteriaceae.
GCCGGCGGCACUAGCGCGGUGGUCCCACCUGACCCCAUGCCGAACUCAGAAGUGAAACGCCGUAGCGCCGAUGGUAGUGUGGGGUCUCCCCAUGUGAGAGUAGGGAACUGCCAGGC